Molecule: unclassified non-coding RNA, 424 nt
Filed under: Boronia inornata
Lineage: Eukaryota; Viridiplantae; Streptophyta; Magnoliopsida; Sapindales; Rutaceae
Description: partial external transcribed spacer
Source: RNAcentral
GCAGGCUCCGUGCUGGUGCAUCGAACUGUUGACACUUCAUCUGCUUCAAUCCUUCCCCAAGUGAACCUUUUCCUUGUGGGUUYGUAAGGUAUCCUGUGUUGCUUACCAAUGGAAUGGAAUUUGUUGGCUUUGUAACGUGGAUUCGCCUUGCCCCCAUUUGGGUGUGCGGUGGACUUGAGGCGAGCUUUGUGUUCCCAGCAUGCCAUGUGCUUCUGUAUUUGGUUGUUGUGGACCAUGGGGUCUUUGCUUGUUUUCUUGGAUGCAGAAUGCUAUGUGUGGGUGUGAGGUCUUGACCUCAACUCGCCUAAACACUUUUUCGCUCGAAUGACUACUGCGCUUGUCUUGAUCUUCCCGACCGAGGCCUCAUAAUGGGGCUUACCGGACGAGGGGGGAACAUGCUGGUGUCAGUGUCAAAGAGGAAAGC